UCUGCCUACGGGGCGCAGCAGUGGGGAAUAUUGGGCAAUGGGCGCAAGCCUGACCCAGCAACGCCGCGUGAAGGAAGAAGGCUUUCGGGUUGUAAACUUCUUUUGUCAGGGACGAAGCAAGUGACGGUACCUGACGAAUAAGCCACGGCUAACUACGUGCCAGCAGCCGCGGUAAUACGUAGGUGGCAAGCGUUAUCCGGAUUUACUGGGUGUAAAGGGUGCGUAGAUGGAGAAACAAGUUGUUUGUGAAAUACCUCGGCUCAACUGAGGAACUGCAAGCAAAACUGUAUAUCUUGAGUACUGGG
Molecule: ribosomal RNA, 305 nt
Filed under: uncultured bacterium
Lineage: Bacteria
Description: bacterial SSU rRNA
Rfam family: Bacterial small subunit ribosomal RNA
Source: RNAcentral